RNAcentral lists this long non-coding RNA (388 nucleotides) under Ananas comosus (pineapple). RNAcentral describes it as "long non-coding RNA (ACOM_LNC007919)". Lineage: Eukaryota; Viridiplantae; Streptophyta; Magnoliopsida; Poales; Bromeliaceae. The record is from RNAcentral.
UUAGUUUCCUAACAAAAAUUUAUUUUAAAAAUAACUUCAGUAAAUUUAAAUUUGCAAAAAUAGUCUGUGUAGGCACUACGUCAGCGCUAUGCGGGUCAGGCUGGGCCUGAUAGUUAAGUUAAAUACGGCGAACCAUUCACCGUGUCUGAAAAAAGAGAAGGGAAAGAAAAAAUAUACGUAUUAUGAAAAAAAUAAGUACAGAAUACGGUGAAUCAUUCAUCGUGUUUGAACACGGUGAAUGGUUCACCAUGUUCAACUUAACACCCCAACCCGUCCACGGGGUGCUGAUGUGGCGUCUGCGUUGCAAGAUAAGGGUCAUUUUUCCAAACUUAAAUUUACUGAGGCUAUUUUUAAAAUAUUUUUUUUCAGGGGCUAAUUGCAAAAAAAA